RNAcentral lists this ribosomal RNA (449 nucleotides) under uncultured bacterium. RNAcentral's name for it is "partial 16S ribosomal RNA". It matches the Rfam family "Bacterial small subunit ribosomal RNA", at positions 29 to 523 of the family's 1533-position model. The record is from RNAcentral.
AACGAACGCUGGCGGCAGGCCUAACGCAUGCAAGUCGAACGCUGUAGCAAUACAGAGUGGCAGACGGGUGAGUAACACGUGGGAAUCUUCCUAUCGGUACGGAAUAGCUCAGGGAAACUCGGGGUAAUACCGCAUACGCCCUUCGGGGGCAAGAUUUAUCGCCGAUAGAUGAGCCCGCGUCUGAUUAGCUAGUUGGUGAGGUAAUGGCUCACCAAGGCGACGAUCAGUAGCUGGUCUGAGAGGAUGACCAGCCACACUGGGACUGAGACACGGCCCAGACUCCUACGGGAGGCAGCAGUGGGGAAUAUUGGACAAUGGGGGCAACCCUGAUCCAGCCAUGCCGCGUGAGUGACGAAGGUCUUCGGAUUGUAAAGCUCUUUUGGCGGGGACGAUAAUGACGGUACCCGCAGAAUAAGCCCCGGCUAACUUCGUGCCAGCCGCCGCAGUAA